Molecule: non-coding RNA, 26 nt
Filed under: Cricetulus griseus (Chinese hamster)
Lineage: Eukaryota; Metazoa; Chordata; Mammalia; Rodentia; Cricetidae
Source: RNAcentral
AACCAUCUGUAAUGAGACCUUUGUGC